AGGGAGACCUAAUUCAGGUAGGAGACGAAAAAAAAGUAGUCGCUACCAAGAAUCAAUCCCAAAAGGUCGGAGCGAGGCGAAAUUGGCUUUCAAACUAGGUUCUGGGUUCAAACAAGACCUGAAUCAGGAACAAGGGCUAUUAGCUCAGGUGGUUAGAGCGCACCCCUGAUAAGGGUGAGGUCCCUGGUUCGAGUCCAGGAUGGCCCACCUGCACAGGUGGCAAAAACAAAGAAGCGAGGAAUCAGCACCUUAUCUUACUUAUAUAGUAAGAGAGAAUGCUGGCUCUGAGUAAAGAGUCCAGAGGAACCUUGAAAACUGCAUAGAGCUAGGUGAAAAAGCCAAAAAAGAAGACCGCAA
Molecule: transfer RNA, 357 nt
Filed under: uncultured Microcystis sp.
Lineage: Bacteria; Bacillati; Cyanobacteriota; Cyanophyceae; Chroococcales; Microcystaceae
Description: partial 16S-23S ribosomal RNA intergenic spacer
Rfam family: tRNA (bases 134-207)
Source: RNAcentral